AACGUACGCUGGCGGCACGCCUAACACAUGCAAGUCGAACGCAGUAGCAAUACUGAGUGGCAGACGGGUGAGUAACAUGUGGGAAUCUGCCUUGUGGUUCAGGACAACAUUGGGAAACCGAUGCUAAUACUGGAUAAGCCCUUACGGGGAAAGUUUUAAUGCCAUAAGAUGAGCCCGCAUUUGAUUAGUUAGUUGGUGAGGUAAUGGCUCACCAAGACAAUGAUCAAUAGCUGAUCUGAGGGGAUGAUCAGCCACACUGGGACUGAGACACGGCCCAGACUCCUACGGGAGGCAGCAGUGGGGAAUCUUGCACAAUGGAGGAAACUCUGAUGCAGCGAUGCCGCGUGAGUGAAGAAGGCCUUUGGGUUGUAAAGCCCUUUUGUAGGGGAAGAUAAUGACUGUACCCUAAGAAUAAGGUCCGGCUAACUUCGUGCCAGCCGCCGCGGUAA
This 449-nucleotide ribosomal RNA is filed under the name uncultured bacterium. RNAcentral describes it as "partial 16S ribosomal RNA". It matches the Rfam family "Bacterial small subunit ribosomal RNA", at positions 29 to 523 of the family's 1533-position model. The record is from RNAcentral.